Molecule: long non-coding RNA, 3667 nt
Organism: Vespula vulgaris
Lineage: Eukaryota; Metazoa; Arthropoda; Insecta; Hymenoptera; Vespidae
Exons: 4
Source: RefSeq, a predicted model, not a curated record
UAUAUCGAGCCAUUAAAGAAUCAUGCCGAUUAUAAAUCAUAUUAACGCGAGAGCUUUCGUGUCUCCAUAAACCAGCUAUAGGUACUACUUCUUCCAUUACGCCGACAAACUCUUUGCGAUAGAUCGCUCGUUUUGUUAAACAAGACGGAAACGAAUCGACCCGAACGUGAGAGCGAGAGGAAAAGAGAUAUGUGGGUGUUAAAAUAAACGAUUUCCUGACCGGGAAAAGUGAAGCUCGUUGAAGCGUUUCAGCGAAUUCGCUUCGAACUGAACGCAAUACUAUGGUUUGCCGUUAAUUAAAAUUUCACGGUUUACACGAUGACCCCGGUAUAAACGAGCGAACGAUCUUUAUCGUAUUAAAAAGAAAACUGACAAUGAGUUUUAACGUUCCAAUGUACGUUUCGGAUCUCUCAGCGAGAACGUCUCUUUCAUUGGCAAACGAUACCACGUCGAUGUAGACGCGUCGUUAUUUUGGCGUAAAUGAAUUCCAAUUACGCGUUACACCUUCGGGCGAUUAGCUCUGGCAUAAUUACAUAGGCGUAUCUCGUCGCGCGACGAUUAACUCGAUAAAGUGGUCGCGCGCGUGUACGAGAAAGAGAGAGGGAGCGAGAAAGAGAAAGAGAGACAGAGGAGAGUGAGUAAGUGAGAGAGAAAGAGGGAGAAAGAUAGCGUCGCUAGCCAGAAGGCGAGACGGGAAGGAUGACGUGGACGAGAAAAGUAGCUUGGCUAAGAGAAAGUUACAAAGGAAUUAUGCGUUUCUUUAUCUUUUGCAAAGAGAGCAAUAGGGAGAGAGUACGAGAGAGGAGUGUACGCCUCUUCCCAUUCUCCAUUCUAAAAGCGUCAGGUUGUAAGACAAUGGCCGCCGUUAAUGAUCCAUGGAUGGUGUGUAUCUGGCUAACGUGUUAUUUCGGCCGUGCGUGUUACGAUGCUAUUAUAAAAGCUUAUUAAGACGAACGGUAAUUAUUACUCGCCACGUCGAAUAUUCGUGUGCUCAGAAAGUCGAGAAAUUAAUAAUUAUCGAUGGAUCGGCCCACGGUGUCUGUAGAUACAAGACAUCAAGAUAACGCGUAUAGGAUACGCGCAUCAAUUAUGGAGAAUGUAUCGAAGAGCUCGAUUCGACCAAGUCGCCCUCAACGAGGAAACAUUCGUCGUAAGUGCAAAUUACGUGCCACAUACCGACUACUUACUUAUGCAUACGGAUUAUAUUGCAAAAGAAUUAGUUUUCGCAACGAUUCCUCUAGCGCCGGACGAUUUGUAUGAGCUACGUCGAGACUACAGAAUGAGAAAGAGAAAUAUCGAGAGAGUUCUUUUGUACGGAGCCACGAAGGAGAUUUCGAAAGACACGUUCCCGACGUAUUGAUCGAACGAAAGAGAUACGUCUUAUUUGCGUAAUAAAUUCUGCAGCGUCACAGAGCAAAAUUACCAGAGCCUUCGUGGUAGUUCAACGAGAAAGAAAAUCGAAGGAGAUGCCAGUCGGGUGUGCAUGUUGCUGCCGCCUUUGAACGAUACCCGCCCGUUCUCUUCGAGUAAUUUAAAACUUCUAAGGCACCGUUACCGACGACGACGACGACGACGACGACGACGACGACGAUCACGACGAGAAGAUAUCGCGUUUGCACCUGCUACAACGAUGCCGCCCCCUCGUUGCGGUAUAAAUGUGUCGGACGAGAAAAUAUCUUGCGUGCUUUUUAUAUCGGAAAAGUCGUGGGCUCGAACCCCUCGAGAAAGAGAGGGGAUGCAAGCUAUAAAAUAUUUAUAGUUAUUCUAGAAGGCCAUGGCAAUGGUGCACUGGUGCAUCUUAUGUAGCGCUACUGGUUCCAAUAGGAUAAUAACUUUCUUGCGAACCUUUGAAAGUAACUUUUCUUAACGUAGAAAGCAUAAUGAAAAUUUACUCUCUUCUAUUUAAUCCGACAUACUUUUAUUUUUCCUUUUAUUUGCGAAGUGAAUAAAUGAAACGAAAAUGAAAAAUAUCGUCGAGCGUAUCAGCUGCGAGAUUAAAUUUGAGAUAAUAAAUGAGUAAGAAUAUAUACCUAGGUAACUUUUAUUUGAUCGACUCGUAAAAUAUGAAGUCAACAUUUGAAAAAUAACAUCCGAUCUCUCUCUCUCUCUCUCUCUCUCUCUCUCUCUCUGUCUUUCUCAUUUUCUCUCGUUUCUCCCCUUUCACAUGCGAGAUGAAAAUAUCUCCAGUAAUAAUAUCUCCGGGUGUAAUACCUCGCAUAGAGGAGAAUCGGAGUUAAAUUACCGAGGAUGAUCGGAGAAGGUGGGAGAAGCGGAACGAAGAGGUACAUUGAUUGGAAAAGGAAGAAAUGGCGGUUCGGAACGGCCUUGGUGUAAGAAAGGUAGAGGUCGAUGAAUUGCUUUUCGAGCGCGAAUACAAGUAAAGCCCCUUCAUUCGCGAAAAUAUCGCGAAAAUUAUUUUUCGAGGUUACUUCGAGCAAGACCAAAAUAGAGCGAUAAAAGAAAAAGAGAAUAUAAUUUAGGAUCGAGAUAAGCGAAAAUAUUGUUUUCGUGAAUACGUAAUAAGUUGGCAAGGAGAAAGAAAAUGCAUGCUCGAAAAGCCGAGUAAAAAGAGAGCGUUACGUGAAGUGUAACGGAGAUAACGUUUGUCAAUAGUAAAUUACAAUGACGUAGUGUAAGCGUGACUUUCUCUCUCUCUCUACCUUGCUUGUUGCUCAUUAACGCUGACCAUUGUUAACUUCGUAGGAAACAGAUACUUUAGAUAUAGUAGUGUCAAGUUAAAUCAAUAAUGCGAUCUGCUGGAGAUAUGAGCGGCUUUAGAAUGUUCUACGAAACAAUGGUGGUCAGACGUUGAAGAGCGUCGUAAUACGAUAUCACGGAGGUGGAUCAUAGAUAUUCACAAAUUCGAAGUUAAUUAGUGAAUUAGUCGUUCUUAAAGUUGGAAAAUUGCUGGAUAGAGGGAGUAAGAAAGAUCGCUUUUAUUUCCUCAUAAAUGCAGACGUUAAAGCUCUUAAUGAGAAGACCAUAUGCCUAUACAUAAACAUAACAUUACGACGACCACAAAAUCUUAACCGGAUAGUAGUCCUCCGGAUAGUAUGCCGUAUGUACAUACAUUGCUAAGCCGGUAAGUGCGAAGUUAGAUGUUAUUUACGACGUCAGUUCAAGCGCUUUAUAGUUUAUUUUAUUUACGAACGAGAAAGUAAUAUCUUUCGAGAAUGAUUUUAGCGCGCGGAGAAAUUAGCGCAUAGUGAAUUAUCCUGGGGGAAUCGUAUAAACGUUAAAAUAUGUUUAAAACACGCGUAAAUCUGUCGAAGGUACGUUUAGGUGUGCUGGAUCAUUGUCUAAGACCAUAAUUACUACUACUUUCACCUACAUAAAAGGGUAAAGAGAAAGACGGAGAAAUAUCGAUAAGGAAUAAAUCAAGUCACUAGGCCGAUUGUCCUUUCCUCGAUAAAGUUUUAAGGUUCUCUGAUAUCCAGUUUGGAGAAGAUAAAAGAUCGAUAAACAUCGACCGAUCAAGAUUUAUUAAACGAAAUUAGGUGGAAACUUUUAAUCGAUUAUUUCCCUCUUCCAGUUGUCUCGAAACUAUCGCGUAUCUCUCGAGAAUCAUGAACGAUCUCUUUAUAUUUCUUUCGACAACUAAAACUCGACCAUCUGAUCCUCUCUCGUAGAAGAUUCUCGUAGAAGAAAAUAAUAAGGUCUCAGAUUU